Dermacentor albipictus is the source of this 1204-nucleotide non-coding RNA. The record is from RefSeq and is a predicted model, not a curated record. Lineage: Eukaryota; Metazoa; Arthropoda; Arachnida; Ixodida; Ixodidae.
UCGGGUGCAUGUGUGUUCUCCGUGACAUUCUUGAAGUUGUGAGUAAUUAGAUUGUUUUUUGCUGCGUUUAGGUUGUACCACCUCGUUGUUCUCGCGUACUUUUGUGCUCAUCAACGCGAAGUGAGCGUCCGGAGUGAAGACGACGCGAUUGUGCGUGAGAAAGAAGGGCAGCAGCGGCCUACGACAUCGGUGUUUCUUUGUGACAGUGUGUUUACUACGCCUACGACGGCCGUCAUUCGUGGCGACGGAGAAAAACAUCUUCCAUUCGGCCUGAACAGUGAUGAAGUGGACGUUUUGUUUUUCGGCGGAAUCCAUCGUCAACAUCGUCCAUCCACUAUGUAAUCGAAAUGGUGUGCCCACAGUACACAUCGUGGCAGCGCUCCGCCUUCAAACCGAGGGCCUUUUGCAAGACGCAUGAACUGCUCAUAUAAAAGUUACAGUCAGCAUGAAGCAAUUGCAUGGGAACCGACUGGCUGUCUUGGGCCUACACAUUGCUGAAAAGGCAGUGAAGACGUCUGAGCCGACAGGCAGAAAAGAAGCAGAUGGCUACAGCGAUCAGUGAAGAAAUGGCUUCAUCUAUGAUGGCUCGCCUUAGGACAUUGGAAUGCAGCUACACAAAGGCAUCAUCCUUGCCUCUGCCCUGGAACUUUGGUUUGAAUGAGACUGUUCUUCAACGUAGAACGGCCACAAGACUUGUCACCACAUACAAGGCAUAGUGCAAGCUCUAAAUAUUGUACAGGAGGCUAGAAUAAAUGACCCUCCAUGCAGUCACUCUGUGUCUGUGGUAAAUGGGACCAUCACACAUGAUUAUGUGUUUUCUCUCAAAGUUGCUAUGCCGUGCGUUUGGAAACACAUUACCUAUUGUAUGCACACCAUACUUAACAUUUCUGUGUGCUAGCCUGACUGUGGACUUACGAAACAAACAAUGAAGUGCAUAUGAACCCGCAUCCACAUGCCAUACUUCAAGGGUUAUUAUAUUGCUCAUUACACCCGAUAGGUGAAGGGGUAAUAUAUUCCUGAUCACACCCUUACACCCCGUGGGUCGAAGGGUAAUAUGUUGUUCAAAACACCCUCAAGGGAUAGGGUGUUAUUGGAAUAUAGAAUAACCAUCAUAAGGGUGUAAUUCCCUAUAGAACCCACCUUUUUCAAGGGUGCUAGGGGGUUAGUUAUAGACACCGAAAAAAACCCUUAGGGGUGUAAAUUA